GUUACCCAGAAUAGAAUUUCAGUUCAACUUUAAACUUGCCUAACAACUUUAAAAUUAUAAUGUAAGUUUAAAAUAUAAUCUAAAAAGGUACAGCUUUUUAGAACAAGGCUACAACCUUAGUUAGAGAGUAAAACAUAAUAUAACCAUAGUAGGCCUAAGAGCAGCCACCAAUUAAGAAAGCGUUCAAGCUCAACAAUAUUAUCCUCCCAAAAAAUCCCAAAAAUCUUAAUCAACUCCUAAUAUAUCACUGGGUUAAUCUAUUUUAUAAUAGAGGCAAUAAUGCUAACAUGAGUAACAAGAAAUAUUUCUCCUUGCAUAAGCUUAUAACAGUCAACGAAUACCCACUGAUAGUUAACAACACGACAAGAAUAAAUCACCAAUAAAACACUUGUCAAACCAAUUGUUAGCCCAACACAGGUAUGCAUCAAGGAAAGAUCAAAAGAAGUAAAAGGAACUCGGCAAACACAAACCCCGCCUGUUUACCAAAAACAUCACCUCCAGCAUAUCUAGUAUUGGAGGCACUGCCUGCCCAGUGACAUUAGUUAAACGGCCGCGGUAUCCUG
RNAcentral lists this ribosomal RNA (563 nucleotides) under Meles meles (Eurasian badger). RNAcentral's name for it is "partial 16S ribosomal RNA". Lineage: Eukaryota; Metazoa; Chordata; Mammalia; Carnivora; Mustelidae. The record is from RNAcentral.